CGGGAAGCAGAUGCUCAGGGCUCUGUGACUGCAGGCUUGCUGACAGUUUGCGGCACUGCUCCGCCUGGUUAGUGUACAUUGCCAGCAAAGCUUUGUUGAAUUCAAUUGCCUGAAGCUGUUUCUUGGAGAGUUUAUGCUCAACACCUUCUGCAUUGGUCAGCUUCACCUUCUUCUUUGAGUCAAAAACAUUUUGGUCCUUGUUAAUUGUGAUGAUAUUAUUUGCAAUGACGGCAAGCAGUCCUACAUCUGUUGGCUUCAACUUGAUUAUUUGAUUGUAGAGUUGUAGAGCAUCCUCUGUACGACCCUGCAGUUGCAUGAUAUAUGCCAUCUGACCAUGAAUAAUGGCGAGCUCAGCCUCAAUAUCUUCUUCAGUCACAUCAGAGUCUUCUGAGAGUGACUGGCGACACAGCUCUUCUGCUUUCUGUAGUUUCUUCAUUGCUUCAUUCAGCUUUCCUUGUCCAAUCAACGCACACGCGUUGUUAUAACACAGCUCGUAGGUAGCUUCUCGAAGGCCCAAGUUUUCUGGCGUUACUCUCUCCCAUGUACUUUGUGCUGCCACAACAGCAGAGAGGUUGGUUUUUCGUUCUUCCUCAUACUCAUCCUGGGAGUUGCGGAUGAGAUCCCGGUAUGCAGCCAGACAAUCAUCAUAACGCUCCAACCUGUA
RNAcentral lists this long non-coding RNA (664 nucleotides) under Gallus gallus (chicken). The record is from RNAcentral. Lineage: Eukaryota; Metazoa; Chordata; Aves; Galliformes; Phasianidae.